Molecule: ribosomal RNA, 517 nt
Filed under: uncultured bacterium
Lineage: Bacteria
Description: bacterial SSU rRNA
Rfam family: Bacterial small subunit ribosomal RNA
Source: RNAcentral
ACGAACGCUGGCGGCGUGCCUAAUACAUGCAAGUCGAACGGUCUUUCUAUGGAAGCUUGCUUCCACUGAGAAGAUAGUGGCGAACGGGUGAGUAACACGUGGGUAACCUGCCCAUAAGAGGGGGAUAACAUCCGGAAACGGGUGCUAAUACCGCAUAGUUUUCUUGAUCGCAUGAUCGGGAAAGGAAAGACGGCCUUUGUGCUGUCGCUUAUGGAUGGACCCGCGGCGUAUUAGUUAGUUGGUGAGGUAACGGCUCACCAAGACGAUGAUACGUAGCCGACCUGAGAGGGUGAUCGGCCACAUUGGGACUGAGACACGGCCCAAACUCCUACGGGAGGCAGCAGUAGGGAAUCUUCCGCAAUGGACGAAAGUCUGACGGAGCAAUGCCGCGUGAGUGAAGAAGGUUUUUCCGGAUCGUAAAACUCUGUUGUCAGAGAAGAACAAGUUGGAGAGUAACUGCUCCAGCCUUGACGGUAUCUGACCAGAAAGCCACGGCUAACUACGUGCCAGCAGCAGC